GGCUCAUAGGCGAGCCUGAUGGAGCACGCCGCGUGUGUGAUGAAGGGUUUCGGCUCGUAAAACACUGUUGUAAGAGAAGAAUGACAUUGAGAGUAACUGUUCAAUGUGUGACGGUAUCUUACCAGAAAGGAACGGCUAAAUACGUGCCAGCAGCCGCGGUAAAU
RNAcentral lists this ribosomal RNA (164 nucleotides) under uncultured bacterium. RNAcentral describes it as "partial 16S ribosomal RNA". It matches the Rfam family "Bacterial small subunit ribosomal RNA", at positions 359 to 525 of the family's 1533-position model. The record is from RNAcentral.